RNAcentral lists this long non-coding RNA (1486 nucleotides) under Anolis carolinensis (green anole). RNAcentral describes it as "lncRNA (ENSACAG00000032633.2)". The record is from RNAcentral. Lineage: Eukaryota; Metazoa; Chordata; Lepidosauria; Squamata; Anolidae.
UGACGCUGGGGAAAAGGAAGGGGCCUGACAAUGCAAAACCUUGGGAUUUGGAGUCCAAAACACCUGGAGGGCCAAACUUUGCCUAUGCCUGGUCUAUACUGUAGAAUUAACCCAGUUUGACGCUACUUUCACUGCCACAGAUCAAUGCAAAACCUUGGGAUUUAUAAUGUGGAAGCAGAGAAGACUAAAAGUUUUUGGCAAACUAAAACUUCCUUUGAUUCCAUGCCAUAGGGCACUUAAAGGGGUAUCAAACUGAGUUAAUUCUACAGUGUAGACACACUCCCGGACCUGAUUGAAAGGGGAGAGAAAAACAAUCUGCCCCAGUUCCUUUACCUAGGUAUUAAUUAACUAAUAAUAAUAAUAAUCUUUAUUUAUAACCCGCUUUCAUCUCCCCAGGGGGACUCAGAGUGGUUCACAUGGGGACCAAGCCCGAUCAACAGAUAAAACAACACAACAACAUAUAGAAUUAAAACAGUAACAGUAAAAAAAAAUUCAUAAAAUACAUCACUCAAGAGCUAACAUGAUUUCAAACUGCACUAAGAGGCACCUGUAGCUAAGAGUUAACAUGAAAUGACAUAGCAAAGAUCAUUAAAUCUAUUAAAAGACAUUAUUAAAAGAGGAAAAAGCAUUAAAAGGGACCAAAGCUUUGCAUUGCUUGGGAUCCUUGCUCCCACCCAGCCUUCUUACCUGGACGGUGGAAAAAAAAACCCAAAGAGAGCAGGUUCAACUGCAGAGGCAAGCGCGCGUCGAGACGUCCGGUGCGAAGAUGCUGCUCUCCAUCGGGGCUUGGCUCUUAUACCCCUCCCCACUCCCCUCCCCGCCUUUCCCAAACCACACCCACCCCUCCCCUCCCGCCAUGACGUCACCGGCAGGUGAAACUGGCGCCUUGGGACAGGAAACAGAACAAGGGGGAGCGAAAGUCCCACAAAAUCAGGGGCAAACUAGAGCAAAGAACAAUGAAGCUGAAAAUCUAUGAUGCAGUACAGAACCUUCCAUCCUGAAAACACGAAGUGCUCCACUGAAGUCUUGAAAUCUUAUCCAAGAAACCCUGGGUCAACUUAUCUCCUGGUCAAUGUGAGUACGGUACCUUGAUUCUUAUUCUAUAUAAAAUGGAACUAUUCCUUUUUUUAGUUAAUAAAUAAUAAUAAAAAAACUUUAUUUAUAUAAUGCCCUAUCUCCCGGAUGGGACUCAGGGCGGUUUACAGUCAUAAAAGCAACACAAACAUUACAUAACAACAUAAUACACAUUAUAAAACAAAGUAAAAUAAUACAAUUAUAACAAUAAAUCACACUUACAUGACCAGAUCAAGGGGACGGGAACCAUAAACCCAAUAUAUUAAAAUGUAUCGUUUUAGGCUAGGGAAAUCUUAUGCAAUAUAUUCAGGCUCAGAAAUCGGCGAUAGUCCAAUAUAAUUACUCAAAAACCUGCCGACACCACCAGGUCUUCAGUUCCUUACGGUAAUUGGAUAAUGUAGGGGAUUGCCUG